AUUGAACGCUGGCGGCAGGCCUAACACAUGCAAGUCGGGCGGAUGAAGGGAGCUUGCUCCUGGAUUCAGCGGCGGACGGGUGAGUAAUGCCUAGGAAUCUGCCUGGUAGUGGGGGAUAACGUCCGGAAACGGGCGCUAAUACCGCAUACGUCCUGAGGGAGAAAGUGGGGGAUCUUCGGACCUCACGCUAUCAGAUGAGCCUAGGUCGGAUUAGCUAGUUGGUGGGGUAAAGGCCUACCAAGGCGACGAUCCGUAACUGGUCUGAGAGGAUGAUCAGUCACACUGGAACUGAGACACGGUCCAGACUCCUACGGGAGGCAGCAGUGGGGAAUAUUGGACAAUGGGCGAAAGCCUGGUCCAGCCAUGCCGCGUGUGUGAAGAAGGUCUUCGGAUUGUAAAGCACUUUAAGUUGGGAGGAAGGGCAGUAAGUUAAUACCUUGCUGUUUUGACGUUACCAACAGAAUAAGCACCGGCUAACUUCGUG
RNAcentral lists this ribosomal RNA (484 nucleotides) under uncultured bacterium. Its description in RNAcentral is "partial 16S ribosomal RNA". It matches the Rfam family "Bacterial small subunit ribosomal RNA", at positions 30 to 507 of the family's 1533-position model. The record is from RNAcentral.